CGAGGUAGUGACGAGAAAUAACAAUACAGGGCAUUUAAUGCUUUGUAAUUGGAAUGAUAGGAAUUUAAAAUCCUUCCAGAGUAACAAUUGGAGGGCAAGUCUGGUGCCAGCAGCCGCGGUAAUUCCAGCUCCAAUAGUGUAUAUUAGAGUUGUUGCAGUUAAAAAGCUCGUAGUUGGAUUUCUGUCGUGGUCAUCCGGCCUUGCCCGUAGGGUGUGCGCCUGGGUUGCCCGCGGCUUUUUUCCGGUAGCCUUCCGCGCUUCGCUGCGUGCGUUGGUGUUCCGGAACUUUUACUUUGAGAAAAAUAGAGUGUUUCAAGCAGGCUUGUCGCCCUGAAUACUGCAGCAUGGAAUAAUAAGAUAGGACCUUGGUUCUAUUUUGUUGGUUUCUAGGACCGAGGUAAUGAUUAAUAGGGACGGUUGGGGGCAUUCGUAUUUAACUGUCAGAGGUGAAAUUCUUAGAUUUGUUAAAGACGAACUACUGCGAAAGCAUUUGCCAAGGAUGUUUUCAUUAAUCAAGAACGACAGUAGGGGGUUUGAAGACGAUUAGAUACCGUCGUAAUCUCUACCAUAAACUAUGCCGACUAGAGAUAGGGAAACG
This 598-nucleotide ribosomal RNA is filed under the name Cyclospora cayetanensis. RNAcentral's name for it is "SSU rRNA". It matches the Rfam family "Eukaryotic small subunit ribosomal RNA", at positions 460 to 1062 of the family's 1831-position model. Lineage: Eukaryota; Apicomplexa; Conoidasida; Eucoccidiorida; Eimeriidae. The record is from RNAcentral.